Long non-coding RNA from Hypanus sabinus (Atlantic stingray), 5691 nucleotides. RefSeq lists it as uncharacterized. Lineage: Eukaryota; Metazoa; Chordata; Chondrichthyes; Myliobatiformes; Dasyatidae. The record is from RefSeq and is a predicted model, not a curated record. The transcript has 4 exons.
CGCCGCCCCCCAACCGCCGCUCCUGGCGCCGGACCCGCGCCGCCCUCCAACCGCCGAUCCUCGCGCCGGGCGCGCCAACAGAGGUGGAACAUCUUGUGGUUUGAUCAACCUGAUUUACAAUAGCAGAGGACAUCCACGUGAGGUGGAGGAUAGAGUGAGGGAAGGUGGCCCUGAAGGGAGAAAGGAAUGCUGGGUGAGGUGAUGGGAGAACUAGUCAGGAACAUGACAGCCAGUAUUUACACUCAAUGCCUUGGCUAUGAAGAAAAAGACUUUCGAGUCAGUGAAACAGAUCUCAACAAAGUGAUCUGCAGAACACCGAUUCCAGGCCCCAACUUCCAGAACCCCAAUUAUUCUGCAGCAUUUCAUCCUUCACAUUGAUCCAAGGACAUGCCGAUCACCAAACAAUGGGCCUUUGAACUCUGAACUCAUCAGUGGUAAGCACUGGCAUCGAACUCCAUUCUCACCAAUUCAGGAACCCAGGAGGUUAUUGGAAUGCAUUUCUCCUUUCAACACAGAACUCAGACUCUAGAACGCACGGACAACUCUGUGAGUCCACUGACGAAUUCGUAGGCAGUGCAUUUGUGAGUCCACAAGUCUUCUGGAACUUAGGUUCCAUGUUGUUCUGCUGAACAUUGUGGGCAUGCUCUGUUGUCAUCCUUGGGUGUGCUGGUUGUAACACAAAUGAGAAAUUUCAGUGUAAUUUUCUCUGUACAUGUGACACCAAAGAACCCAGAGAAGACCUAUGCAUUCCAUAGUGAAAUUGUAUAGGGACACCUUACAGUGGAUAUCAAGAUUGAACAUCAAAAUCCAGUGCCCUGAGCUUAAACUGCUAUGCUAUCACGGUGCCUUGGUUGUUAACACAAACAACACAUUUCCCUUUACACUUGGGGAAAUAAAGGAAUCUGAAUGAUUGAAGGAUGGAGGGACUGAAUGAAUCAAAGGAGGGAGAGAGAGAGGAUGAAGAAUCAAGCAAAGAAGGCCCGAGUAUGAGAGGGAAGGAGGGAGAGCAAGUGAGGGUGAACAAAUGAGUAAGGGAGUGAAUAUGUGAGGGAAGAGUGAGAGUAAGUGAGUUUGGAGUGAAUGUGAGGAAGUGAAUAUGAGAGGGCAGGAGGGAGAGUGAGCAAGGUGAGUGAGGGAGGGGAUGAUGGAGCAAGCCAAAAAAUGUAUGAUGGGGUGAAUGAAUGUGCAAAGAAGAGAGAGACAGAAUGAGUGGGCAAAGAAUGGGGAGAAGGAAUUCAGUGAAGGUGAAUGAAGGAAGGGAGAGAGGACUCACCUUUUCUUUAAGGUUCUACUUCCUUGCAUUCUCCUGCAUUUUUGCAGCCUUAUGUUCAUCUGAGACCUUGUCAUUCUCGUCAGUAUAAUCUUCUAGUUGGUUUACCCUCUUGACCUUCAUCAGGAUCUUUUCCUUCACUUGCUGUAAUCAUCAAAUGAGUGAGCAUAGUCAUACAGCAUACAGUCAUACAGGCGCUUUGGCCCAACUCAAGUCUGCUGAGGAAGUCAAAGGCUCAAUAUCUAUGAGUCCAAGUGGGCUGGAGACCAAAGGUGGCCUGUCCUGGGUGGUUUGAGUAUCUCCGAAACUGCGGAUCUCCUGCAAUUUUCAAGCACAACAGCCUCAGGAGUUUAUUGAUCAUAGUGCAAAAAAACAAAGAAAUUCCCAGUGAGCAGCAGUUCUGUUGGUGGAAAUGCCUUGUUAAUGAGAAAGGUUAGAGGAGAAUGGUGAGAGUAAUUCAAGCUGACAGAAAGGCAACAGAAAUGCAAUUAACCAUGUAUUACGACAGUGGUUUGCCGAAGAGUAUCUGAAUGUAUAACACAUUGAACCAUGAAGUGGAUAGACUGCAGCAGCAGAAAACUUGGAGCGUACACUCUUGUUAUUUCAUUAGAUACUAGAGGUAUCUAGUAAAGUGGUCACUGAGUAUAUGUUCUAUGUUCUGAGGUGACAGGUCAUGUGAUAAGACAUCCCCAAACUGUUAGCAACACAACUUCAAGGUGAUGGAUGUGGCUUACCUUCCUCAUUCAAUUCAUACAUCUGGAUGAUAUGUGAUGCAUUCUCCCUUGUUACAUUCUCCCUUUGCACCUUCUGCAGGAACUCCUGUGGUUUUUCUACACUGAUCAGCUGCUCUUUUUUGCUGGAGUUUUCAAAGAUAAUUGUGAUCUCGCAUUCUGUCAGCAGGUUGUAAAACUCCAUCUCUGUGCCGUGGAUGGUUCCAUCCAUCGUCACAUUUCUGAUGUUAGAUACAGGGACCAAAGGCAGUUAUGAUGAAAGAUCGGAGGAAAUUGUGCUGUCAGUGAAUCUGUGCCGGCUUCACUUAAGUGCUAACAGUUCACCUGAUUUAACACUUACAACGAGAGUGUUGGACCUCUUUAUUAGAAAGGGUGUGUUGGCAAUAGAGAAGGUCCAGUGGUGGCUCACGAAAAUAAUCCAGGGAAAGAAAACAAACAUUUGAUGACUGGACCUGUGCUUGCUGGAGAUUAGGAGAAUGAGGUGUUGGAGGGUUGGGAGGGAAAUCUCAUUGAAACCUAUCAACUAUUGAAAGGACUAGAUGUAAUGGAUGUUAAGAAGAUGCUUCCUAUAAUGUGUGGGUCUGGGCCCAGAUGGCACAGCAUAACAAUUGAAGGACGCCUCUUUACAGGAAUUGAGAUGAGAUUUCUUUAGACAGAAAGGUAGUGACACUAUGGAAUUUAUUGCAAUACAUGUCUGUGGAGGGCAAUUUAUUGGCUAUAGUUAAAAUGGAGGUUGAUAAGUUGAGAAGUGGAGGACUCAGCAGGUCAGACAUCAUUCGUGGAGGAAAAUAGAACCACAGAACAUUACAGCACAAAAACAGCCCUUUUGGCCCUUCUUGACUUUGCCGAACCAUUUUUCUGCCUAGUCCCACUGACCUGCACCUGGCCCAUAUCCCUGCAUACACCUCUUUCCAGAAUAAUGGCUCUUCAGAUUAAGAUCCUUCAUCAGGACUGGGAAGGAAGGGAGGAGAAGCCAGAAUAAUAAGGUAUGAGAAGCAGAAGUAGUAUAAGGUGGCAGGUUAGAGGUGAGACCAGAUGAGGAGUAAAUUUGGUGAGUGAGGAGGUGAGCAAGAAAUAAGCUGGAAUGUUGUAGAUGUAAGAAGAGGUGAAGGAAUCUGAUAUGAGUGGAAAUUGGACCACAGAAAAGAGAGGCACCAAGGGAUGAGAUAGGCAGGUAAGGAGAAGUGGGAGGAGGCUUGAAUCGGGAAUUGAAGAAGAGAGGAGGGAAGGGGAAAAAUUACCAGAGGUAGAGAGUCCUGAUGAACGGUCUUGGCUUAAAAUUAUUUUUUAUAUUUCUUCAUGCAAAACAAAGUUCAAGGCUUAUGUUAGUGACAAUAAUUCUGACUCUGCUUCUAUACCUUUUGGGCUUAUGUACUUCUAAGUCAGAAUAUGUGAUUAGGGGUGAAGCAGUUCCCAUGUGCUUGCUGCCUUUGACUUCUACAGGGGGCUGAACUUGGGAGCCACUGUCAGAGAAGACAAUGGGUGAAAUAACACCUUGCCUUCCGGGCUGACUUAUCAAAGGAUAUUGGCACAGCUUCAUGCUGGAGUUUCUGUUUUUGAGUUUGGUAAUGCCACAGAUCCAGUACUGGGCUUCCUUGCUGCUACUGGCCACUAGUUUCAAGUUAUUUUUCCUCCCCUUGAAGAUGAUGGUAAAGCUGUAGUAGGUGGGCUUCUCUACCUCUGACUGGUGACCUGACCGCAGCUCCUUGAUGUCAUCGAUCAAGACUGAAGGAGGUUGGGUGGGUCGGGAGGAUGGUAUUACAGCAGCAGAUUUUAGAGCACUAUAUUCAGAUUCAGAUGAAUAAAGAAAUUCUGCAAAAUCAGGAAAUCCAGAUUAACAGAAACAAAAUGCUGGAGGGACUGAACAGGUCAGGCAGCGUUGAUGGAGGGGAAUGAAGACUCAACAUUUCAGGCUAAUAAUGUACCUCAGGAGUUGGAAUGAGUCCUGAUGAAGUGUCUGAGCCUGAAAUAUCAACUCUAUUCUGACACACUUUGCAAAGGAUACCGGCCCUGCUGCUCUCUCUGCUUUAUGCUGGAGUUUCUGUUCUUGAGUUUGGUAAUGCCAUAGAUCCAGUACUGGGCUUCCUUGCUGCUACUGGCCACUAGUUUCACGUUCUUUUUCCUCCCCUUAAAAUGAUGGUCAAGCUGUAGUAGGUGAGCUUCUCUACCUCUGACUGGUGACCUGCCCGCAGCUCCUUGAUGUCAUCGAUCAAGACUGAAGGGGGUCGGGUGGGUUGGGGAGGGGAGGGGUAGUACAGCAGCAGAUUUUAGAGCACUAUAUUCUGAUGUAUAAAGAGAUUCUGCAAAAGCAGGAAAUCCAUAUUAACAGAAGCAAAAUGCUGGAGGGACUGAACAGGUCAGGCAGCGUUGAUGGAGGGGAAUGAAGACUCAACAUUUCAGGCUAAUAAUGUACCUCAGGAGUUGGAAUGAGUCCUGAUGAAGUGUCUGAGCCUGAAAUAUCAACUCUUUAUUCUGACACACUUUGCAAAGGAUACUGGCCCUGCUGCGCUCUCUGCUUUAUGCUAGGGUUUCUGUUCUUGAGUUUGGUAAUGCCAUAGGUCCAGUACUGGGCUUCCUUGCUGCUACUGGCCACUAGUUUCACGUUCUUUUUCCUCUCCUUUAAGAUGUUGGUAAAGCUGCAGUCAUUGUGUUCUUUAAGAUUACCUCUGACUGGUGACCUGCCCGCAGCUCCUUGAUGUCAUCGAUCAAGACUGAAGGGGGUCGGGUGGGUUGGGGAGGGGAGGGGUAGUACAGCAGCAGAUUUUAGAGCACUGUAUUCUGAUGUAUAAAGAGAUUCUGCAAAAGCAGGAAAUCCAUAUUAACAGAAGCAAAAUGCUGGAGGGACUGAAUAGGUCAGGCAGCGUUGAUGGAGGGGAAUGCAGACUCAACAUUUCAAGCCAAUAAUGUACCUCAGGAGUUGGAAUGAGUCCUGAUGAAGUGUCUGAGCCUGAAAUAUCAACUCUAUUCUGACACACUUUGCAAAGGAUACUGGCCCUGCUGCGCUGUCUGCUUUAUGCUGGGGUUUCUGUUCUUGAGUUUGGUAAUGCCAUAGAUCCAGUUCUGGGCUUCCUUGCUGCUACUGGCCACUAGUUUCACGUUCUUUUUCCUCCCCUUAAAAUGAUGGUCAAGCUGUAGUAGGUGGGCUUCUCUACCUCUGACUGGUGACCUGCCCGCAGCUCCUUGAUGUCAUCGAUCAAGACUGAAGGAGGUUGGGUGGGUCGGGGGGGAUGGUAUUACAGCAGCAGAUUUUAGAGCACUAUAUUCUGAUUCAGAUGAAUAAAGAAAUUCUGCAAAAUCAGGAAAUCCAGAUUAACAGAAACAAAAUGCUGGAGGGACUGAAUAGGUCAGGCAGCAUUGAUGGAGAGGAAUAAAGAGUCAACAUUUCAGGCCAAUAAUGUACCUCAGGAGUUGGAAUGAGUCCUGAUGAAGUGUCUGAGCCUGAAAUAUCAACUCUAUUCUGACACACUUUGCAAAGGAUACCGGCCCUGCUGCUCUCUCUGCUUUAUGCUGGAGUUUCUGUUCUUGAGUUUGGUAAUGCCAUAGAUCCAGUACUGGGCUUCCUUGCUGCUACUGGCCACUAGUUUCACGUUCUUUUUCCUCCCCUUAAAAUGAUGGUCAAGCUGUAGUAGGUGAGCUUCUCUACCUCUGACUGGUGACCUGCCCGCAGCUCCUUAAUGUCAUCGAUCAAGA